Molecule: ribosomal RNA, 465 nt
Filed under: uncultured bacterium
Lineage: Bacteria
Description: partial 16S ribosomal RNA
Rfam family: Bacterial small subunit ribosomal RNA
Source: RNAcentral
GACGAACGCUGGCGGCGUGCUUAACACAUGCAAGUCGAACGGAAAGGCCCCUUUGGGGGUCCUCGAGUGGCGAACGGGUGGGUAACACGUGAGUAACCUGCCCUUGACUUCGGGAUAACUUCAGGAAACUGGGGCUAAUACCGGAUAGGAAUCCUUGCUGCAUGGUGGGGGUUGGAAAGCUUCGGCGGUUUUGGAUGGACUCGCGGCUUAUCAGCUUGUUGGUGGGGUAGUGGCUUACCAAGGCUUUGACGGGUAGCCGGCCUGAGAGGGCGACCGGCCACAUUGGGACUGAGAUACGGCCCAGACUCCUACGGGAGGCAGCAGUGGGGAAUAUUGCACAAUGGGCGGAAGCCUGAUGCAGCAACGCCGCGUGCGGGAGGACGGCCUUCGGGUUGUAAACCGCUUUCAGCAGGGGCGAAGCUUGUGGUGACGGUACCUGCAGAAGAAGCACCGGCUAACUACGUG